GGACCACACAAAACAAAUGACCCAACGAAUGAAUGAAGCGCAUCGUGAAAACUUCAUAGAAACACCUAAUGUUUCCCACCCAAAUCCCAUAACAUUACACAUCACACUCACUUCAUUGGUGUGGAACCUGUUCUUAUCUCAUCCCCCUUGCCACCCACUCUUUUGUUUCUACUUCCGUUUCCAUUCUCUUCAAUUUCACACACCAACCAAAACAAAAACAUUCACCAAAGUCCAAACUCUUUCAACUCAAAUCAACAGAUCCACACUACAUAUAUAG
Non-coding RNA from Vicia faba (fava bean), 277 nucleotides. The record is from the annotation of a GenBank genome assembly. NCBI's taxonomy places the organism in Eukaryota, Viridiplantae, Streptophyta, Magnoliopsida, Fabales, Fabaceae.